ACGAACGCUGGCGGCGUGCUUAACACAUGCAAGUCGCACGGAAAGGCCCUGCUUUUGUGGGGUGCUCGAGUGGCGAACGGGUGAGUAACACGUGAGUAACCUGCCCUUGACUUUGGGAUAACUUCAGGAAACUGGGGCUAAUACCGGAUAGGAGCUCCUGCUGCAUGGUGGGGGUUGGAAAGUUUCGGCGGUUGGGGAUGGACUCGCGGCUUAUCAGCUUGUUGGGGGGGUAGUGGCUUACCAAGGCUUUUACGGGUAGCCGGCCUGAGAGGGUGACCGGGCACAUUGGGACUGGGAGACGGCCCAGACUCCUACGGGAGGCAGCAGUGGGGAUUAUUGCACAAUGGGCGGAAGCCUGAUGCAGCAACGCCGCGUGCUGGAUGACGGCCUGCGGGUUGUAAACCGCUUUCGCCUGUGACGAAGCGUGAGUGACGGUAAUGGGUAAAGAAGCACCGGCUAACUACGUG
RNAcentral lists this ribosomal RNA (467 nucleotides) under uncultured bacterium. RNAcentral's name for it is "partial 16S ribosomal RNA". It matches the Rfam family "Bacterial small subunit ribosomal RNA", at positions 29 to 507 of the family's 1533-position model. The record is from RNAcentral.